UGGGGAAUAUUGCACAAUGGGCGCAAGCCUGAUGCAGCCAUGCCGCGUGUAUGAAAAAGGCCUUCGGGUUGUAAAGUACUUUCAGCGGGGAGGAAGGUGUUGAGGUUAAUAACCUCAGCAAUUGACGUUACCCGCAGAAGAAGCACCGGCUAACUCCGUGCCAGCAGCCGCGGUAAUACGGAGGGUGCAAGCGUUAAUCGGAAUUACUGGGCGUAAAGCGCACGCAGGCGGUCUGUCAAGUCGGAUGUGAAAUCCCCGGGCUCAACCUGGGAACUGCAUUCGAAACUGGCAGGCUAGAGUCUUGUAGAGGGGGGUAGAAUUCCAGGUGUAGCGGUGAAAUGCGUAGAGAUCUGGAGGAAUACCGGUGGCGAAGGCGGCCCCCUGGACAAAGACUGACGCUCAGGUGCGAAAGCGUGGGGAGCAAACA
RNAcentral lists this ribosomal RNA (427 nucleotides) under uncultured bacterium. RNAcentral describes it as "partial 16S ribosomal RNA". It matches the Rfam family "Bacterial small subunit ribosomal RNA", at positions 355 to 774 of the family's 1533-position model. The record is from RNAcentral.